UCGAGCAGAAGGGGCUCCAAGGAGCCAAGAACCCUAGUUCAAUCAAUCUUCAAAUUGAAAGGGAAAUCGAAGACCAAAUUCGGGUUUGAAUAUAUAUUAGCGAUCACCAAGUCAUGGGGAUCACAAGUUUGACGCUUAACGAGCUAGGUGGAGGCUUGGGAAAGAAGCGGGUCAAACGGAUCGGGUACGCGGAAAAGAGCAUAACCGGAUGCAAGGUGAUCCUAGUUUGCAUCCGGAUGAUGGUCAAACCAAGUAUCAAGAAUCGAACACUCGUCUUUGAAGCUUCCGCAACGAUAUCGUUUUGUUUAUGUUACAAACAACUUAUGUGAACAAUUAGUAUUAUUUUUGAAUGUUAUGAUCAUGUAUGAAUGAUAACUUAUAAAAGUUUUUGGAAGGUCGCAUUUACAAUAGAAAAAUGCGUAGUUUAUUA
Molecule: long non-coding RNA, 430 nt
Organism: Helianthus annuus (common sunflower)
Lineage: Eukaryota; Viridiplantae; Streptophyta; Magnoliopsida; Asterales; Asteraceae
Exons: 3
Source: RefSeq, a predicted model, not a curated record